UACGUAGGGGGCGAGCGUUGUCCGAAGUUACUGGGCGUAAAGCGCGCGCAGGCGGUCCUUUAAGUCUGAUGUGAAAGCCCACGGCUCAACCGUGGAGGGUCAUUGGAAACUGGGGGACUUGAGUACAGAAGAGAAGAGUGGAAUUCCACGUGUAGCGGUGAAAUGCGUAGAGAUGUGGAGGAACACCAGUGGCGAAGGCGACUCUUUGGUCUGUAACUGACGCUGAGGCGCGAAAGCGUGGGGAGCAAACAGG
RNAcentral lists this ribosomal RNA (253 nucleotides) under uncultured bacterium. RNAcentral describes it as "partial 16S ribosomal RNA". It matches the Rfam family "Bacterial small subunit ribosomal RNA", at positions 524 to 776 of the family's 1533-position model. The record is from RNAcentral.